Molecule: long non-coding RNA, 3146 nt
Organism: Macadamia integrifolia
Lineage: Eukaryota; Viridiplantae; Streptophyta; Magnoliopsida; Proteales; Proteaceae
Exons: 2
Source: RefSeq, a predicted model, not a curated record
UCUCAACCACACGGUUGUGACUCUCAGAGUUACAGCAUCUCUUUCUCCUCUACCUCCCUCUUCUCUUCUCAUCUUUUUCUUUUUAUUUACAUGGUAUCAGAGAAGAUCCUUAGGUGCUGCUAAACUUUCAUCUUAGGAUCUUGUUCACCUUUCUUCUAAGCUUUCAAUCAAUAUUGAUUGUCUACUUGAUUUUCCUUUUAUCCUAGUGCACAAGAAAAACUAGGGUUUCAUGACUGAUUUCGGUUGAUUUUGUAUAAUGAAUCUCUACUAGUAUUUGCUUUGGUUUGUCUCAAAAGAAGACAUGCGGCUCCACUAUUGUUUCCAGGUGUAAUGUUACACGUGAGGGGGAGAUUGGAGUUCCUAUUUGCUCAACCAUCAAUGAUUGGAGUUAUUGUCUGCUCAAGAUUAUUUCCAUUGAAAAUUGAUUUAUUGUUAAGUAUUUGCUCGUGUCCCUGGCAACAAUUUUUAUCUUUUGGAGAUGGUUAUAUUCAGUGACCUGAUGUUGUUUUGUAUAUUUAGCAACCUGAUGUUGUUUGGUCCUCAACAACCUAAUGUUGCUCCUUAGUUCGCAAUAACCAAUACUACAGAAUUUUGUCUAAGACCUUUGUUUGGGGAGAUCACUAUUUGAGGCUCGACUGCUUUUGAUCUAGCUGUUGGAUGCUACACUUUUGUUGUAGUGUCUUCUAUGGGAAGUGCUUGUUAUGUAGAUACUGGAUGCUACCCUUUUGUUGAAGUGCCUUCUAUAGGAAGGGCUUUUGAUGUAGCAGCGCAAUGAUGGAUCGACCCAAACCAGCUGCAGAACCCAGACAAAAAACCAAAUCCUAUUUGGGAUCAAAGUUACUGAUUUGGGUUCAAGGAUAUUGGAAUAUUCUAGGAUUUUAUUUUAUUUGUAAUCUUUUAUUUUAGGUAGUUUUUAGAUAGGGAACAAGUUUCCAAUUUGAGUCCUUUGUUUCUAAUUCUGUUAGUCUAGAUUUUUGCAGAUUUUAUUUUUAUUUAGUCUUUGGCUUUAAUUAGGAAGCUGUAAUUUUAGUUUAUUACAAAUAAGGCAUGUAACCCAGGUUAUGGAAAAUUAAUGAAGAAUGAAUUGAAAUUGGAAAACCACUGCGUGGCUGCCUUCUUCCUCCCCCCCCCCCCCCUUUUCCUUCUUCUUUGAGAUCUCUUCUUUCCCCCUUCUCUCAUAUCUUCCUUGUCCAGUGAGACAACCCCCCUUCUUCUUCUUCCCUGCGACCUCCCUAUCUCCCCUCUUCUCCUGUCUUUCUUUCUCCUUGUUCUCUCUUCUUUUCUAGUUCUCUGUAACUGUGUUCUUAGAAGUCCAGCAAGGAAGGUACUGAACCCCUUCCCUUCCCUUCUUCUUCUCUUCCAACUUCUCUUCAUUCCUUUUCUGUUUCGUUUUCUGCAACUUGUGAUGCAAGCAGACUGAAAAGCAAUUGUUUGAGCUCUCAUCUCUAAUCUGUUGGACUUGAAGUUUGGGUUGAAGGUUACUACCCUGUAAGCAACCCAAAUCCCUGGGGUUUCAACUCCUGGAUCCCCUUCUUUAGUACGUUCCUUCCCUGCAACCAGAAGAGAGCACAACCCCUUCCUCCAGGCCUUGUUUCAGAAUUUUCCAAGCUAACCUGAGGCUACUGGCUCGAGUUAUCGUGGUUUACUAUCGGUUGAGCCGAGUCUUAUGAAUUGAUACCUGAAACUUCACUUCGAGUGGAGCCCACAUAGGUGAGAUCGAUCACCUGAAACCAGACUGGUUCUGCAGCCCUUGUUUUUGUCCAAAGGUUGAAGACAACCCAAAUCGUGGGUUUUGUUUUAAAUCCCCUUAUUCUGGUUUUCCCAUUGUAUCCUCAUAAAGCCUCUUUAUACCUCCCGGUCCUUUAGUCACAUUCAGUUCCAAAUCUGACCCUAAACAAUAAAUCAAAUUCCCACUUGUGUCCACUCUUCUUGACUGACCCAUUUAACAUUAGAAAGUUCUGGGAUUUACAAAGAUGCCAUUCCACCCUUAUGAACUUCAGUCUAUUUACUGUUUUGCCACUUGAUUCUAAACAUCAGUAUAUUUACUGUUUUGGCCACCUAAUCUCAGUCUUAAGAACUUAAGUUCUUAAGUAGGCUCACAGCCAUCCAAGUUUGGGUCUUUUUUUUGGGGCCCACCGGCCCCGCAUUAGCUUUUUAUGUAGCUAUUGGAUGCUACGCUUCUAUUCUAAGCUGUUGUUGGAGUGCCUUCUUUGGGAAGGGCUUUCAAUGUUGUUAUUGUUGCUACUGCCUAUUUUGUUUGUUGCUGAUGGUUCUGCUUGGUUUAUUCGACAUGACAUUUUUUUUAUCUAGUGAUGUUUGAUGUGUUUGAGCUGACAUUGCUAGCUUUAUGAUGGUUGAUUGGAGUUCCCUCUUCACUCAUUGGAGUUCUUGUUGGUUCAAGCUGGAGGUUUUUUUUUAUACAUGUAUGCUCCAGCUUGUGGGGGAAUAUUAGAAGUUAUCGAUUAAGGGUUUCACAUCACUGUUCACAUGAAUAGUGUUCACGGGUAUUGUUCAUGUGAACAGUAACUCGUGAGCAAUAACCUCUCUUUUUUUUAAUGUCCUUUAUUUCCUUUUAUGCUCUUUAAUAGGGUUGUGUGACAUCUCACUAUUAUAUAUACUAAAUGAAGUGGGCAGUCUCAAUCACACGGUUGUGACUCCCAGAGUUACAACAUCCUCUUUCUCCUCUUUCUCCUCUUCCUCUUCUCUUCUCUUCUCUUCUAUUCUCUUUUCUCUUUCUUUCUAUUUACAAUCCCCAUUGUCCGCUUACGUACACUCUCUCAUGGGGCUUUUUUUAUUCAUUUUCUUUGUCCUCUCUGACCACUGUGGUCCCUAUGGAUGAUACCAUUCUGCGUGCUCCAUUGGUGUGGUGUGGUAGAUUCUUCAUAUGCCGACAGUAUGGGAAACCCUAUCCCUUUGACAAUUGAUAUAAUACCGAAGUUUAGCUUUCAGUUUUCAUCAAAAAAAGUUUAGCUGUUCAGUUGAAGGGUGCCAUAUUCACCUUGAGGGUGGAAGAUAGCAUUAUUUUAGUUUAUGCUGGUUUGUCUAAUUUCUGUACUUUUUUUUAAGUUGAUCUUCCUUAGAAGAGACGCAUCAAAGCUCUAAGGCAACCCAAGGAGUAAUACUCUUUUUUUUUUUUUUUUUUUUUU